Molecule: ribosomal RNA, 441 nt
Filed under: uncultured bacterium
Lineage: Bacteria
Description: partial 16S ribosomal RNA
Rfam family: Bacterial small subunit ribosomal RNA
Source: RNAcentral
AUGCACGCUGGCGGCGUGCCUUAUCCAUGCAAUUCGAGUGGGUUUAGACCCACGGCAAACGGGUGAGUCACACGUAGGUACUUUCCUUGUCACAGGAAUAACCCUCCGAAAGGAGGGCUAAUACCUGAUGUGAUCGCAAGAUUAAAGGGUAUCCGCAAGGAUUACCGGACAAGAAGAGGCCUGCGGCCUAUCAGCUAGUUGGCGGGGUAAAUGCCCACCAAGGCUAUGACGGGUAGCUGGUCUUAUGAGGAUGAUCAGUCACAUGGGCACUGAGACACGGGCCCAACUCCUACGGGAGGCAGCAGUAGGGAAUUUUGCGCAAUGGGCGAAAGCCUGACGCAGCGACGCCGCGUGCGGGAUGAAGGCCUCCGGGUCGUAAACCGCUUUUAUAAGGGACGAACUUUGACGGUACCUGAUGAAUAAGAGGUUGCUAACUCUGUG